This 429-nucleotide ribosomal RNA is filed under the name Microvirga ossetica. RNAcentral describes it as "partial 16S ribosomal RNA". It matches the Rfam family "Bacterial small subunit ribosomal RNA", at positions 355 to 776 of the family's 1533-position model. RNAcentral also lists the same sequence under 1 other name. The record is from RNAcentral. Lineage: Bacteria; Pseudomonadati; Pseudomonadota; Alphaproteobacteria; Hyphomicrobiales; Methylobacteriaceae.
UGGGGAAUUUUGGACAAUGGGCGAAAGCCUGAUCCAGCAAUGCCGCGUGAGUGAAGAAGGCCUUCGGGUUGUAAAGCUCUUUUGUCAGGGAAGAAACGGUGAAAGCUAAUAUCUUUUGCUAAUGACGGUACCUGAAGAAUAAGCACCGGCUAACUACGUGCCAGCAGCCGCGGUAAUACGUAGGGUGCAAGCGUUAAUCGGAAUUACUGGGCGUAAAGCGUGCGCAGGCGGUUUUGUAAGUCUGAUGUGAAAUCCCCGGGCUCAACCUGGGAAUUGCAUUGGAGACUGCAAGGCUAGAAUCUGGCAGAGGGGGGUAGAAUUCCACGUGUAGCAGUGAAAUGCGUAGAUAUGUGGAGGAACACCGAUGGCGAAGGCAGCCCCCUGGGUCAAGAUUGACGCUCAUGCACGAAAGCGUGGGGAGCAAACAGG